GACGAACGCUGGCGGCGUGCUUAACACAUGCAAGUCGAACGGAAAGGCCCUGCUUUUGUGGGGUGCUCGAGUGGCGAACGGGUGAGUAACACGUGAGUAACCUGCCCUUGACUUUGGGAUAACUUCAGGAAACUGGGGCUAAUACCGGAUAGGAGCUCCUGCUGCAUGGUGGGGGUUGGAAAGUUUCGGCGGUUGGGGAUGGACUCGCGGCUUAUCAGCUUGUUGGUGGGGUAGUGGCUUACCAAGGCUUUGACGGGUAGCCGGCCUGAGAGGGUGACCGGCGACAUUGGGACUGAGAUACGGCCCAGACUCCAACGGGAGGCAGCAGUGGGGAAUAUUGCACAAUGGGAGGAAGCCUGAUGCAGAAACGCCGCGUGCGGGAUGACGGCCUUCGGGUUGUAAACCGCUUUCGCCUGUGACGAAGCGUGAGUGACGGUAAUGGGUAAAGAAGCACCGGCUAACUACGUG
Molecule: ribosomal RNA, 468 nt
Filed under: uncultured bacterium
Lineage: Bacteria
Description: partial 16S ribosomal RNA
Rfam family: Bacterial small subunit ribosomal RNA
Source: RNAcentral